CUCUUUCCAUAUUUGCUGUCUCACAGGUCUGAAGCAGCAAGGCCCAAUGACUGCACAGCAAAAGAAGCCGCUAUCAGGAGCCCAGUUCCUGCUUAAUGCUGCAGGGGCCCAGCCCAUCAGAACUCAUCUUUCCAAGCCACUGGAUAUUGGUUAAGCUGUUGUCCAGUGUGCAGCCGGCCGCUUCACCACCUGCUAGAGGGAAAACAACCCAAGACUCCAUUAGCAGCCUCUUCAGAUGCACUACAGCUCUACCAAAACCAACGGUUGGGGAUAACCCCUCUGAGACCUGUUCUAAGGGACAGGGAACACAUGGUAAAUCGUUGUGGCUCUAAGUUAUUCUGCUCCAUUAUGGACUUCAGUAGACAUUCAUGAACAAUAAAUUGUAUUUCAAUGAGACAGAUGGAACCUCAGGCAUCUGUCAAGGCAAA
Long non-coding RNA from Rattus rattus (black rat), 428 nucleotides. RefSeq lists it as uncharacterized. The transcript has 2 exons. The record is from RefSeq and is a predicted model, not a curated record. NCBI's taxonomy places the organism in Eukaryota, Metazoa, Chordata, Mammalia, Rodentia, Muridae.